AACGAACGCUGGCGGCAUGCCUAACACAUGCAAGUCGAACGAGACCUUCGGGUCUAGUGGCGCACGGGUGCGUAACGCGUGGGAACCUGCCCUCAGGUUCGGAAUAACUCCCCGAAAGGGGUGCUAAUACCGGAUAAUGUCUUCGGACCAAAGAUUUAUCGCCUUUGGAUGGGCUCGCGUUGGAUUAGCUUGUUGGUAGGGUAAAAGCCUACCAAGGCGACGAUCCAUAGCUGGUCUGAGAGGAUGAUCAGCCACACUGGGACUGAGACACGGCCCAGACUCCUACGGGAGGCAGCAGUGGGGAAUAUUGGACAGUGGGCGAAAGCCUGAUCCAGCAAUGCCGCGUGAGUGAUGAAGGCCUUAGGGUAGUAAAGCUCUUUUACCCGGGAUGAUAAUGACAGUACCGGGAGAAUAAGCUCCGGCUAACUCCGUG
Molecule: ribosomal RNA, 433 nt
Filed under: uncultured bacterium
Lineage: Bacteria
Description: partial 16S ribosomal RNA
Rfam family: Bacterial small subunit ribosomal RNA
Source: RNAcentral